UAGGGAAUCUUCGGCAAUGGACGAAAGUCUGACCGAGCAACGCCGCGUGAGUGAAGAAGGUUUUCGGAUCGUAAAACUCUGUUGUUAGAGAAGAACAAGGACGUUAGUAACUGAACGUCCCCUGACGGUAUCUAACCAGAAAGCCACGGCUAACUACGUGCCAGCAGCCGCGGUAAUACGUAGGUGGCAAGCGUUGUCCGGAUUUAUUGGGCGUAAAGCGAGCGCAGGCGGUUUCUUAAGUAUGAUGUGAAAGCCCCCGGCUCAACCGGGGAGGGUCAUUGGAAACUGGGAGACGUGAGUGCAGAAGAGGAGAGUGGAAUUCCAUGUGUAGCAGUGAAAUGCGUAGGUAUAUGGAGGAACACCAGUGGCGAAGGCGGCUCUCUGGUCUGAAACUGACGCUGAGGCUCGAAAGCGUGGGGAGCAAACAGG
This 429-nucleotide ribosomal RNA is filed under the name Gemmatimonadota bacterium. RNAcentral's name for it is "Gemmatimonadetes bacterium partial 16S ribosomal RNA". It matches the Rfam family "Bacterial small subunit ribosomal RNA", at positions 355 to 776 of the family's 1533-position model. The record is from RNAcentral. Lineage: Bacteria; Pseudomonadati; Gemmatimonadota.